RNAcentral lists this ribosomal RNA (467 nucleotides) under uncultured bacterium. RNAcentral's name for it is "bacterial SSU rRNA". It matches the Rfam family "Bacterial small subunit ribosomal RNA", at positions 355 to 825 of the family's 1533-position model. The record is from RNAcentral.
UGAGGAAUAUUGGACAAUGGGCGCAAGCCUGAUCCAGCCAUGCCGCGUGCAGGAUGACGGUCCUAUGGAUUGUAAACUGCUUUUGUACAGGAAGAAACAGUUCUACGUGUAGAACCUUGACGGUACUGUAAGAAUAAGGAUCGGCUAACUCCGUGCCAGCAGCCGCGGUAAUACGGAGGAUCCAAGCGUUAUCCGGAAUCAUUGGGUUUAAAGGGUCCGUAGGCGGUUAGAUAAGUCAGUGGUGAAAGCCCAUCGCUCAACGGUGGAACGGCCAUUGAUACUGUCUGACUUGAAUUAUUAGGAAGUAACUAGAAUAUGUAGUGUAGCGGUGAAAUGCUUAGAGAUUACAUGGAAUACCAAUUGCGAAGGCAGGUUACUACUAAUGGAUUGACGCUGAUGGACGAAAGCGUGGGUAGCGAACAGGAUUAGAUACCCCUGUAGUCCCUGAGCGGGCUGGCAAGGCGCAU